CCUACGGGAGGUAGCAGUGGGGAAUAUUGGACAAUGGGCGAAAGCCUGAUCCAGCAAUGCCGCGUGAGUGAUGAAGGCCUUCGGGUCGUAAAGCUCUUUUACCAGGGAUGAUAAUGACAGUACCUGGAGAAUAAGCUCCGGCUAACUCCGUGCCAGCAGCCGCGGUAAUACGGAGGGAGCUAGCGUUGUUCGGAAUUACUGGGCGUAAAGAGUACGUAGGCGGUUAUUCAAGUCAGAGGUGAAAGCCCGGGGCUCAACCCCGGAACUGCCUUUGAAACUAGAUAACUAGAGUCUUGGAGAGGUUAGUGGAAUUCCGAGUGUAGAGGUGAAAUUCGUAGAUAUUCGGAAGAACACCAGUGGCGAAGGCGACUAACUGGACAAGUACUGACGCUGAGGUACGAAAGCGUGGGGAGCAAACAGGAUUAGAUACCCUGGUAGUCCACGCCGUAAACGAUGAUAACUAGUUGUUCGGUCACUUGGUGACUGAGUGACGCAGCUAACGCAUUAAGUUAUCCGCCUGGGGAGUACGGUCGCAAGAUUAAAACUCAAAAGGAAUUGACGG
Molecule: ribosomal RNA, 562 nt
Filed under: uncultured bacterium
Lineage: Bacteria
Description: bacterial SSU rRNA
Rfam family: Bacterial small subunit ribosomal RNA
Source: RNAcentral